CGAGUCCGAGCAGCUACGGCAGCGGAGUGACUGAAGUCAAGCUUCCCAGAAAAGCCCGAACCACGUUAAUCCACAGUUACCUGUACCCGAAACCGACACAGGUGGGGAGGUAGAGCAUACUAAGGGGCGCGAGAUAACUCUCUCUAAGGAACUCGGCAAAAUGACCCCGUAACUUCGGGAGAAGGGGUGCCCUCAGCAAUGGGGGUCGCAGUGAAGAGGCCCAGGCGACUGUUUACCAAAAACACAGGUCUCCGCUAAGUCGCAAGACGACGUAUGGGGGCUGACGCCUGCCCAGUGCCGGAAGGUUAAGGAAGCUGGUCAGGGAUUCGUCCUAAAGCUAGCGACUGAAGCCCCGGUGAACGGCGGCCGUAACUAUAACGGUCCUAAGGUAGCGAAGUUCCUUGUCGGGUAAGUUCCGACCCGCACGAAAGGCGUAACGAUCUGGGCACUGUCUCGGAGAGAGACUCGGCGAAAUAGGAAUGUCUGUGAAGAUACGGACUACCUGCACCUGGACAGAAAGACCCUAUGAAGCUUUACUGUAGCCUGGAAUUGGCUUCGGGCUUCGCUUGCGCAGGAUAGGUGGGAGGCGUUGAAGUUCCCCUCGUGGGGGGGAUGGAGCCAACAGUGAGAUACCACUCUGGCGAGGCUAGAAGUCUAACUUUCACCCGUAAGCCGGGGAAAAGACAGUUUCAGGUGGGCAGUUUGACUGGGGCGGUCGCCUCCAAAAAGGUAACGGAGGCGCGCAAAGGUUCCCUCAGGCUGGUUGGAAAUCAGCCAUCGAGUGUAAAGGCAGAAGGGAGCUUGACUGUGAGACAGACAAGUCAAACAGGGUGGAAACACGGCCUUAGUGAUCCGACGGCGCUGAGUGGAAAGGCCGUCGCUCAACGGAUAAAAGUUACUCUAGGGAUAACAGGCUGAUCUCCCCCAAGAGUUCACAUCGACGGGGAGGUUUGGCACCUCGAUGUCGGCUCAUCGCAACCUGGGGCGGAAGUACGUCCCAAGGGUUGGGCUGUUCGCCCAUUAAAGCGGUACGUGAGCUGGGUUCUGAACGUCGUGAGACAGUUCGGUCCAUAUCCGGUGCAGGCGCAAGAGCAUUGAGAGGAGCCUUCCUUAGUACGAGAGGACCGGGAAGGACGCACCGCUGGUGUACCAGUUAUCGUGCCAACGGUAACGCUGGGUAGCCAAGUGCGGAGUGGAUAACCGCUGAAAGCAUCUAAGUGGGAAGCCCACCUCAAGAUGAGUGCUCUCAUGGAGUUAAUCCAGUAAGGUCACGGGAAGAACACCCGUUACUAGGCGCUAGGUGGAAGUCCAGUAAUGGAUGCAGCCGAGGCGUACUAACAGACC
This 1344-nucleotide ribosomal RNA is filed under the name metagenome. Its description in RNAcentral is "bacterial LSU rRNA". It matches the Rfam family "Bacterial large subunit ribosomal RNA", at positions 1564 to 2910 of the family's 2925-position model. The record is from RNAcentral.